AGAGUUUGAUCCUGGCUCAGAUUGAACGCUGGCGGCAGGCUUAACACAUGCAAGUCGAGCGGUAACAUUUCUAGCUUGCUAGAAGAUGACGAGCGGCGGACGGGUGAGUAAUACUUAGGAAUCUACCUAGUAGUGGGGGAUAGCACGGGGAAACUCGUAUUAAUACCGCAUACGACCUACGGGAGAAAGGGGGCAGUUUACUGCUCUCGCUAUUAGAUGAGCCUAAGUCGGAUUAGCUAGAUGGUGGGGUAAAGGCCUACCAUGGCGACGAUCUGUAGCUGGUCUGAGAGGAUGAUCAGCCACACCGGGACUGAGACACGGCCCGGACUCCUACGGGAGGCAGCAGUGGGGAAUAUUGGACAAUGGGGGCAACCCUGAUCCAGCCAUGCCGCGUGUGUGAAGAAGGCCUUUUGGUUGUAAAGCACUUUAAGCAGUGAAGAAGACUCUGUGGUUAAUACCCACAGACGAUGACAUUAGCUGCAGAAUAAGCACCGGCUAACUCUGUGCCAGCAGCCGCGGUAAUACAGAGGGUGCAAGCGUUAAUCGGAAUUACUGGGCGUAAAGGGAGCGUAGGUGGCUCGAUAAGUCAGAUGUGAAAUCCCCGGGCUCAACCUGGGAACUGCAUCUGAUACUGUUGAGCUAGAGUAUGUGAGAGGAAGGUAGAAUUCCAGGUGUAGCGGUGAAAUGCGUAGAGAUCUGGAGGAAUACCGAUGGCGAAGGCAGCUUUCUGGCAUAAUACUGACACUGAGGCUCGAAAGCGUGGGUAGCAAACAGGAUUAGAUACCCUGGUAGUCCACGCCGUAAAACGAUGUCUACUAGUCGUUGGGUCCCUUGAGGACUUAGUGACGCAGCUAACGCAAUAAGUAGACCGCCUGGGGAGUACGGCCGCAAGGUUAAAACUCAAAUGAAUUGACGGGGGCCCGCACAAGCGGUGGAGCAUGUGGUUUAAUUCGAUGCAACGCGAAGAACCUUACCUGGUCUUGACAUAUCUAGAAUCCUGCAGAGAUGCGGGAGUGCCUUCGGGAAUUAGAAUACAGGUGCUGCAUGGCUGUCGUCAGCUCGUGUCGUGAGAUGUUGGGUUAAGUCCCGCAACGAGCGCAACCCUUGUCCUUAGUUACCAGCGGGUUAAGCCGGGAACUCUAAGGAUACUGCCAGUGACAAACUGGAGGAAGGCGGGGACGACGUCAAGUCAUCAUGGCCCUUACGACCAGGGCUACACACGUGCUACAAUGGUAGGUACAGAGGGCAGCUACACAGCGAUGUGAUGCGAAUCUCAAAAAGCCUAUCGUAGUCCAGAUUGGAGUCUGCAACUCGACUCCAUGAAGUAGGAAUCGCUAGUAAUCGCGGAUCAGAAUGCCGCGGUGAAUACGUUCCCGGGCCUUGUACACACCGCCCGUCACACCAUGGGAGUUGAUUGCACCAGAAGUGGAUAGCCUAACCCUCGGGAAGGCGUUCACCACGGUGUGGUUGAUGACUGGGGUGAAG
RNAcentral lists this ribosomal RNA (1485 nucleotides) under Psychrobacter sp. 20. RNAcentral describes it as "16S ribosomal RNA". It matches the Rfam family "Bacterial small subunit ribosomal RNA". The record is from RNAcentral. Lineage: Bacteria; Pseudomonadati; Pseudomonadota; Gammaproteobacteria; Moraxellales; Moraxellaceae.